Corylus avellana is the source of this 628-nucleotide non-coding RNA. NCBI's taxonomy places the organism in Eukaryota, Viridiplantae, Streptophyta, Magnoliopsida, Fagales, Betulaceae. The record is from RefSeq and is a predicted model, not a curated record.
CUCCUCCUAUUCGCACACAAUCUUACAUCUCAACAUACAAGAAGGAUAGUGACUAUCCAAAUGAUAUGGUCAGGGAGUGAUGUGAGAGGAUGAAGGAGCUGAUACCCACUGACUCGGCAUUAACGUCGAGCGUGACUGAAGGGACGGUACGGUGGGCACCGAAUGACGCAUAUGCCCAGGCGUACGAAAAUAAGCCUGAGUACGCUGGCAAGGUUCGAUAGGUUGGUCCGAAUGUUCUACCUGUGCGGGGCAAGCAUACACUUGUACUAUACACCGUCCCAAGCACGGUCACCGAACCCUGGGAACUCCACGGUCUCACAGAUGACUGAGAGGAUUAGAGAACUUGAAGCGGAGAGGGCACAACAAAGAGCACAGAUGGAUGAGAUGGCUAAAUGAAUUGAAGAACAAAAUGCUCAGAUGGCAGCAAAAGAUGUAAUAAUUGACGCCCGUUUUCGCCAGCUUGAAGCCAUGUCCGGGUCGACCUCCGGAUCCGCGCCCGAGGUGACUCAACAUAGGAGACAGAGGUACCGGCGAUAUUGAUGAGGAUCCGAUAACCUUGUACUUGCGCUACUAUGACUGAGGCCAUUGGAUGCCGAAUGCUUGAGAAAUCAGACUAUUAGCUAAUCCA